CCCUUAGAUGUUCUGGGCCGCACGCGCGCUACACUGACGAAUGCAACGAGCUUAUAACCUUGGCCGAAAGGUCUGGGUAAUCUCCAAAUUUCGUCGUGAUGGGGAUAGAUUAUUGCAAUUAUUAAUCUUCAACGAGGAAUGCCUAGUAAGCGCGAGUCAUCAGCUCGCGUUGAUUACGUCCCUGCCCUUUGUACACACCGCCCGUCGCUCCUACCGAUUGAAUGGUCCGGUGAAAUGUUCGGAUCGCGGCAAAUCGGACGGGUAACCGUCAGGUUCGCUGCGAGAAGUUCAUUAAACCUUAUCAUUUAGAGGAAGGAGAAGUCGUAACA
RNAcentral lists this ribosomal RNA (329 nucleotides) under uncultured eukaryote. RNAcentral's name for it is "partial 18S ribosomal RNA". It matches the Rfam family "Eukaryotic small subunit ribosomal RNA", at positions 1470 to 1796 of the family's 1831-position model. The record is from RNAcentral.